CGGCGGACGGGUGAGUAACGCGUGGGUAACCUACCCUGUACACACGGAUAACAUACCGAAAGGUAUGCUAAUACAGGAUAAUAUAUUUGAGAGGCAUCUCUUGAAUAUCAAAGGUGAGCCAGUACAGGAUGGACCCGCGUCUGGUUAGCUAGUUGGUAAGGUAACGGCUUACCAAGGCGACGAUCAGUAGCCGACCUGAGAGGGUGAUCGGCCACAUUGGAACUGAGACACGGUCCAA
RNAcentral lists this ribosomal RNA (238 nucleotides) under uncultured bacterium. Its description in RNAcentral is "partial 16S ribosomal RNA". It matches the Rfam family "Bacterial small subunit ribosomal RNA", at positions 96 to 334 of the family's 1533-position model. The record is from RNAcentral.